This 492-nucleotide ribosomal RNA is filed under the name uncultured bacterium. RNAcentral describes it as "partial 16S ribosomal RNA". It matches the Rfam family "Bacterial small subunit ribosomal RNA", at positions 29 to 507 of the family's 1533-position model. The record is from RNAcentral.
AGUGAACGCUGGCGGUAGGCCUAACACAUGCAAGUCGAACGGCAGCACAGUAAGAGCUUGCUCUUACGGGUGGCGAGUGGCGGACGGGUGAGGAAUACAUCGGAAUCUACUUUUUCGUGGGGGAUAACGUAGGGAAACUUACGCUAAUACCGCAUACGACCUACGGGUGAAAGCAGGGGAUCUUCGGACCUUGCGCGAUUGAAUGAGCCGAUGUCGGAUUAGCUAGUUGGCGGGGUAAAGGCCCACCAAGGCGACGAUCCGUAGCUGGUCUGAGAGGAUGAUCCGCCACACUGGAACUGAGACACGGUCCAGACCUCUACGGGAGGCAGCAGUAGGGAAUAUUGGACAAUGGGCGCAAGCCUGAUCCAGCCAUACCGCGUGGGUGAAGAAGGCCUUCGGGUUGUAAAGCCCUUUUGUUGGGAAAGAAAAGCAGCAGGUUAAUACCCCGCUGUUCUGACGGUACCCAAAGAAUAAGCACCGGCUAACUUCGUG